CUUAAAACCCAAAGGACUUGACGGUGCCCCAUCCAACUAGAGGAGCCUGUUCUAUAAUUGAUAAUCCCCGCUUUACCUUACCACUACUAGUCCAUCAGCCUGUAUACCUCCGUCGCAAGCUUACCAUGUGAACGUCAGACAGUAAGCUCAAUGAA
This 155-nucleotide ribosomal RNA is filed under the name Platymantis montanus. RNAcentral's name for it is "partial 12S ribosomal RNA". The record is from RNAcentral. Lineage: Eukaryota; Metazoa; Chordata; Amphibia; Anura; Ceratobatrachidae.